GAUACUUGGUGUGAAUUGCAGAAUCCCGUGAACCAUCGAGUCUUUGAACGCAAGUUGCGCCCAAAGCCGUUAGGCCGAGGGCACGUCUGCCUGGGCGUCACG
This 102-nucleotide ribosomal RNA is filed under the name Convolvulus oxyphyllus. RNAcentral describes it as "partial 5.8S ribosomal RNA". It matches the Rfam family "5.8S ribosomal RNA", at positions 57 to 154 of the family's 154-position model. From Rfam's summary of the family: 5.8S ribosomal RNA (5.8S rRNA) is a component of the large subunit of the eukaryotic ribosome. It is transcribed by RNA polymerase I as part of the 45S precursor that also contains 18S and 28S rRNA. Functionally, it is thought that 5.8S rRNA may be involved in ribosome translocation. The record is from RNAcentral. Lineage: Eukaryota; Viridiplantae; Streptophyta; Magnoliopsida; Solanales; Convolvulaceae.